UACAUAGGGGGCAAGCGUUAAUCGGCAUUACUGGGCGUAAAGCGCGCGUAGGUGGUUCGUUAAGUUGGAUGUGAAAUCCCCGGGCUCAACCUGGGAACUGCAUCCAAAACUGGCGAGCUAGAGUAUGGUAGAGGGUGGUGGAAUUUCCUGUGUAGCGGUGAAAUGCGUAGAUAUCUGGAGGAACACCGGUGGCGAAGGCGGCGUCCUGGACCAACACUGACACUGAGGAGCGAAAGCCAGGGGAGCAAACGGG
This 253-nucleotide ribosomal RNA is filed under the name uncultured bacterium. Its description in RNAcentral is "partial 16S ribosomal RNA". It matches the Rfam family "Bacterial small subunit ribosomal RNA", at positions 524 to 776 of the family's 1533-position model. The record is from RNAcentral.